UGUCGAGAUAGAACCCUUGCCUUUUUGAGUACCUUUCGUUUCCUCGGCAGGCUCGCCUGCCAAUGGGGACCCCCAAAAACACUUUGCAGUACCUGUAAUAGUCUGAAAAACAAACAAAAAUUAAAACUUUCAACAACGGAUCUCUUGGUUCUGGCAUCGAUGAAGAACGCAGCGAAAUGCGAUAAGUAGUGUGAAUUGCAGAAUUCAGUGAAUCAUCGAAUCUUUGAACGCACAUUGCGCUUUCCGGUAUUCCGGUAAGCAUGCCUGUUUGAGAAUCGAUAAUCUCUCACAAUGCUCUUUGGACUUGGAUAACAUCUAACCAUGUGACCCUGAGUCCUUUGCAUAGUGGAUUUGGAACACUUGCUUUUGCAGCAACGUUCUUAAAAUUAAUGUUUUGACCAUCUGAUUGCUGAGGCAACCUGGGUGUAUAUGAGUGCAUGAAUAGGUUAAGUCCUUUAUGAUUUCACUCAUUCCUGGGUUAUUUUUCUUCAGUAAUUGUGGGCAACUCCAGUUCAUAACUCAGUUUGAGUUCCGUUUGGAACUUGAUCUGAAAACUUGGUCUCAAAUCAGGUAGGAAAACCCGCUGAACUUAAGCAUAUCAAUAGGCGGAGGAA
This 614-nucleotide ribosomal RNA is filed under the name uncultured fungus. Its description in RNAcentral is "eukaryotic LSU rRNA". The stretch from base 125 to 278 matches the Rfam family "5.8S ribosomal RNA". Lineage: Eukaryota; Fungi. The record is from RNAcentral.